CUGCUGGCAGUGAAUGGGCGAAGUGAAAUGAUGUGCAAGUCAUGACGAGGUUCUGAAUGGUGGAGGAUUAUUUUGAGGAAUUAUUUUAUGAUUACAGAGAGAACCGGAGUGAAUAUGGCAUCAGACUACUGGCCAGACACUGAUUGAAUUGAAGUAAUAUCAGAAGCCCUGAGUAAUUGUCGUCGAGGAUUCAAAUGUGCUCCUGUCAGUGACUUGUGGAGGUUCCGAAUACCCCAGCAUAUGGAAUUGUGGAUGAACGAGGAUAUGGACAAUGUGAGAGAGUGUAUGUGUUCGUGGUGGAUCAGAUAGUGUACAGUCAUCCCAGGUGAUGGUGGUCUGCUACUGUGUACUCAGGUCAUCCGCGAAGAGCCGGGGAAACUGGACCUGGUGAAUGGUUUGAGGGUCUGGAGGAGAGGGGGAUUUUGAAACAGGUCUGCCAUCCAUCGGUCAUCAUUCGUCCGCUUCGUUUUAUCACAGUAGUUGAAAUGUAACAUAGAGAUACUGAGAGACACAGUUGCCUUCAACGUCAGAAUAAAUGACAAACAGAUGAAAAUUUUCGGAUGAGAUGUGGAGAUAUUUAGCAACUACUGGCCAAUAGUAAAAGGUGACUUGUCAUGUUUUACCGCUUCGCUGCUGAGUUGAGAUAACCCGAAGAAACAAACGUCCUUGUUUUCACAAUUACAUUCAUACUUAGUAAUGCAGAGAGAGAGAGUGAGAGCUGGAUUGCUACUUCUCACACACACACACUACAACGAGCUUGUUUUCCUGCCCGCUCACUCAUACGGAAAACUCGUGUGUGCAUCUCAUCUCGGAUGGGCUCUAAAUUCAUUUACUGAAGCAUUA
This is a long non-coding RNA of Diachasmimorpha longicaudata, 843 nucleotides long. RefSeq lists it as uncharacterized. The record is from RefSeq and is a predicted model, not a curated record. The transcript is spliced from 4 exons. NCBI's taxonomy places the organism in Eukaryota, Metazoa, Arthropoda, Insecta, Hymenoptera, Braconidae.